This 72-nucleotide transfer RNA is filed under the name Rhipicephalus sanguineus (brown dog tick). Its description in RNAcentral is "transfer RNA alanine (anticodon UGC)". It matches the Rfam family "tRNA". Rfam says of the family: Transfer RNA (tRNA) molecules are approximately 80 nucleotides in length. Their secondary structure includes four short double-helical elements and three loops (D, anti-codon, and T loops). Further hydrogen bonds mediate the characteristic L-shaped molecular structure. tRNAs have two regions of fundamental functional importance: the anti-codon, which is responsible for specific mRNA codon recognition, and the 3' end, to which the tRNAs corresponding amino acid is attached (by aminoacyl-tRNA synthetases). tRNAs cope with the degeneracy of the genetic code in two manners: having more than one tRNA (with a specific anti-codon) for a particular amino acid; and 'wobble' base-pairing, i.e. permitting non-standard base-pairing at the 3rd anti-codon position. The record is from Rfam by way of RNAcentral. Lineage: Eukaryota; Metazoa; Arthropoda; Arachnida; Ixodida; Ixodidae.
GGGGGUGUAGCUCAGUGGUAGAGCGCUCGCUUUGCGUGCGAGAAGUCCCGGGUUCAAACCUCGGCACCUCCA